UACGUAGGGUGCAAGCGUUAAUCGGAAUUACUGGGCGUAAAGCGUGCGCAGGCGGUUUUGUAAGUCUGACGUGAAAGCCCCGGGCUCAACCUGGGAAUUGCGUUGGAGACUGUAAGGCUUGAAUCUGGCAGAGGGGGGUAGAAUUCCACGUGUAGCAGUGAAAUGCGUAGAGAUGUGGAGGAACACCGAUGGCGAAGGCAGCCCCCUGGGUCAAGAUUGACGCUCAUGCACGAAAGCGUGGGGAGCAAACAGG
Molecule: ribosomal RNA, 253 nt
Filed under: uncultured bacterium
Lineage: Bacteria
Description: partial 16S ribosomal RNA
Rfam family: Bacterial small subunit ribosomal RNA
Source: RNAcentral